UCUGGGGUCUCUGUGGGUCCGGCUCCUGACUCCUCAUGAGGCCCCUAUGGGUCGGGGUUUGGGGUCCCUAUGGGGUGGGGUCCCUAUGGGUCGGGGCUUGGGGUCCAUGCCGUGUUCCCGUGGGUCAGGAUGGGCGCUCAGUAUUUGGGGUCCUCAUGGGUCACCAUUGGGUGCCCCAUAGAUGUGGCUGUGCGCCCCAUAGGUGGAGUUGGUUUCCACAGAGAGGACUUUGGGCGCCCCAUAGAUCGGCACUGGGUGCCCCAUAGUGGGCUGGUUGCCCCAUAGAUGGUCUGUGUGCCCCAUAGAUGGGCUGUUUGCCCCACAGCUUGGUUGGUUGCCCCAUAACUGGGCUGGUUGCACCAUAGAUGGAUUGGUUGCCCCACAGCUGGGCUGGUUGCCCCAUAGCUGGUUUGGUUGCCCCAUAGAUGGUCUCUGUGCCCCAUAAAUGGAUUGGUUACCCCAUUGAUGGAUUGGGUGCCCCAUAGCUGGGCUGGUUGCCCCAUAGCUGGGCUAGUUGCCCAUAGGUGGGUUGAUAGCCCCAUAGAUGGGUUGGGUGCCCCAUAGAUGGUCUCUGUGCCCCAUAGAUGAGUUGGUUGCCCCAUAGCUGUGUUGGUUGCCCCACAGCUGGGCUGGUAGCCCCACAGCUGGGCUGGUAGCCCCAUCUCCAUCCGUGCCCCCGUUUCCCGCAGAGCUGCAGCAGCUGCGCUCGGCGCUGCCGGGAGCCGCGGUGCUGCAGCGCCUGCCGCAGUCCGGCGCCGUUUUGGUGCUGCCGCCGGCGGCGCCGCGCGACCUCCUGGAGCUCUACUUCGAGAACCGCCGCAGCGCCGGCGGCAAAGUGGGCGCCGUGAGGCUGCGCCGCGAUGGGGCCGCCGUCGUCACCUUCCGAGACCCACAGGUGGUGCCGCGGGUGCUGCGCCGGACGCAUCGGCUGCAGGACGUGGAGCUGCGUGUGGUGCCGUACUACCAGGCCCUGGAGAUGGAUGGCGCCGAUCCGGCACCGGGCGAUGGCACAGAUCCGGCACUGGGCGAUGGCACAGAUCCGGCACCGGGCGAUGGCACAGAUCCGGCACCAGGUGGUGUAGAUCCGUGGGAUCUGGCAGCCACCAACACCUCGCAGCUGAGUGCGGAGCUGCCGGCUGCGGACUCUCCGGUGAUGCCACCGUGGACGACCCUGGACCCCACGGUGACACCAAAAGGGACAAACCGAGACCCCGUGGUGGUGACACCAGGAGGGACCCUGAACCGCCCGGUGACACCAGGGAGGACCACCGAGGACCCCAUGGUGACACCAGGGAGGACCCAGAACCCCACGGUGACACCAGGGAGCACCCGUAACCUCAUGGCGACACCAAAGACGACAACCCGCGUCCCUCCGGCGACACCAAAGACGCCCCCCCAAGACCCCACGCCGACACCAGGUGUGACCACCCUGGACCCCAGCGCGGCGUCACCGUCACCAUCGCCGGCCCAGGAGCGCGUGGUGCUGCCGGAAGCGACGCUGCAAUUCCUGCGCCGCGCCGACGUCCGCGCUCAGCUGUCCGGCACCGCGCCGUACGCCGUGGUCGGCACCGCGGUGCUGCUGACGGCCCCCAGCCCCGCGGACGCCCGCCGUGCCGCGCGGCGCCUGCAGGACGCGCUGGGUGCCUUCGCCGUGGCGGUGCCGCCGCGGUGCCGCGUGCCGGGGCCGGGAUCGCCGUGCUGGCGGCGGCUGCGGUGCUGCGCGGUGCGGCGGAGCGCGGACGGGCGCUGGGUGCAGGGCCUGACCCUGCGCGGCAUGGAGGAGGAGAACCGGCGCCGCGUGUGGGACGCCGUGCGGGGGGAUGGCAGCAUGGAUCCCGGCGGGGUGGAUCCCGGUGGCGUAGAUCCUGGCGGGGUGGAUCCCAGCGGUGUGGAUCCCGGUGGUGAGCGGCAGCGCGGCGGGGAUGGCGGCGGGGAUCCCACGGUGGGUGCAGAUCCCGCUGUGCGGCCCAGCAGAGGACGCAGGGUGGAUCCCGACGGAGAUCCCAACUCGUGGCUCAACCUGGAACCCGACGGAGAGCCCGAUUCACAGCCCGUCCUGGAUCCCAGCGUGGAUCCCAACGUGGAUCCCAAUGGAGAUCCCAAUUCACGGCCCAUCAUGGAACCCAUCCUGGAUCCCAACAGAGAUCCCAAUUCACGGCCCAGCGUGGAUCCCAGCAGAGAUCCCAAUCCAUGGCUCAUCGUGGAACCCAGCGCGGAUCCCAUGGUGGAUCCCAGCGCCGAUCGGCGGCCCAGCCCGGCCCCCUCCGCGGAUCCCGCAGCUCCCGGCGCGGCGCCGGCGGAGGCGGUGGUUCCGAUGGCCGCGGGCGCCCUGCGCUUCCUGCAGGAGCGGCGCCGGGCUCUGCUGGCCGCCGUCGGCGGCGUCUCCGUGCUGCCGCUGGGGGGAUCCGACGGCUGCGCCCUGCGGGUGAGCGCCGCGCGGGGCGGGCGGGGCGGGGCGGUGCUGCUCUGCUCGGUGCUGCUGUGUUUGGUGCCGCUCUGCUCGGCGCUGCUCCACUCGGUGCCGCUCCGCUCGGUACUGCUCUGUUUGGUGCUGCUCCGCUCGGCGCUGCUGGGUGCGGUGCUGCUCUGCUCGUGGUUCUGCUCUGUGCCGCUCCGCUCGGUGCUGCUCCGCUCGGCGCUGCUCUGCUCGGUGCGGUGCUGCUCCACUCGGUGCUGCUCCGCUCGGUGCCGCUCUGCUCGGCGCUGCUCCGCUUGGUGCUGACGGUGCUGUGCGGUGCUGUGCGGUGCUACUGGGGGCGGUUCUGCUCCGCUCGGUGCUGCUCUGCUCGGUGCAAUGCCGCUCCGUUCGGUGCGGUGCUGCUCCACUCGGUGCUGCUCUGCUCGGUUCCGCUCUGCUCGGUACCGCCCCACUCGGCGCGGUGCUGCUCUGUUCAGUGCGGUGCUGCUCGGUGCGGUGCUGCUCCGCUCGGUGCGGUGCUGUGCUGUGCAGUGCGGUGUUGCACCACUUGCUGCUGCUCUGCUCGGUGCUGCUCUGUUUGGUGCCGCUCUGUUUGGUGCUGCUCCGCUCGGUGCUGACAGUGCUGUGCGGUGCUGUGCGGUGCUGUGCGGUGCUGCUGGAGGCGGUUCUGCUCCGCUCGGUGCCGCUCCGUUUGGCACUGCUCCGUUCGGUGCGGUGCUGCUCCGUUUGGUGCUGCUCCACUCGGUGCAGCUCUGUUUGGCGCUGCUCCACUCGGUGCUGCUCUGCUCGGUGCUGCUGGGUGCGGUGCUGCCCUGCUCGGUUCGGUGCCGCUCCGCUCGCUGCAGCUCUGCUCGGUGCUGCUGGGUGCGGUGCUGCUCUGCUCCGCUCCGUGCUGCCGGCGCGGUGCGGUGCCGCUCCGCUCGGUGCCGCUUCACUCAGCGCUGCUCCACUCGGUGCCGCUCUGCUCGGUGCGGCGCUGCUCUGCUCGCUGCUGCUCCGCUCGGUGCUGACGGUGCUGCUGGGUGCUCUGCUCGAUACAGAAUCACAGAAUCACAGAAUCACAGAAUCACUAAGGUUGAAAAGACCUAUAAGAUCAUCCAGUCCAACCAUCCACCCAUCACCAAUGGUUCUCACUAAACC
Molecule: long non-coding RNA, 3559 nt
Organism: Phasianus colchicus (ring-necked pheasant)
Lineage: Eukaryota; Metazoa; Chordata; Aves; Galliformes; Phasianidae
Source: Ensembl